AGGGACUUAGGUAUAACAUUUAGACCAAGGGCCUUCAAAGCCCUUAGCGGGAGUGAGAAUCUCCCAGUCUCUG
RNAcentral lists this transfer RNA (73 nucleotides) under Morone saxatilis (striped sea-bass). RNAcentral describes it as "tRNA-Trp". It matches the Rfam family "tRNA". Rfam says of the family: Transfer RNA (tRNA) molecules are approximately 80 nucleotides in length. Their secondary structure includes four short double-helical elements and three loops (D, anti-codon, and T loops). The record is from RNAcentral. Lineage: Eukaryota; Metazoa; Chordata; Actinopteri; Moronidae.